RNAcentral lists this unclassified non-coding RNA (613 nucleotides) under Hevea brasiliensis (rubber tree). Lineage: Eukaryota; Viridiplantae; Streptophyta; Magnoliopsida; Malpighiales; Euphorbiaceae. The record is from RNAcentral.
CCUUAACAGAAUUAUUUAAAUGUGAAGUUACAUUAAGUUUUGAUCCCACAUCUGGAUCUUUCCAAACACUAUUCUCCCCUCCACAUUUUUGCUCAUCUACAAAAUCUAUUCCUACUUGAUUUUGCUGCUCCAAAUAGGAAAUACCAGAUCCAAGAUGAAGUAAUUUGACACUCUUAUCAUUCUCCAGUGUAGAUAAUACAUGCCCUCCAUGUUUAUUUGCCACUUCAUCUGCUGUAUUCUGAUCUAUACCAGGAAGGGAACAAAAAUAAGAAUUAUCACAUUCUUUCUGUAAAUAAGGAAACAUAGGCAACUGGUUGUUUGGCCCUUCCUUGUAAAUAGCUUUAUCUAGAUUGCAUAGACUAUCAGGAAUAAGCUCUGAUUCUGAAUCCAAUCCUUUUGUACGUAAAUCUGGCAGAUAUAAAGAACUCUUCAUACUAUAUUGUAGUGCACCAGUAAUGUGCCCAACUGAGGAAUCUUGAAGGGAUAGAAAGACAUCUUUUAUAUGGGUUACCAGCUUCGGAUCCUCAGCAACUUUAUUCAAAGAGCCGAGCUGUACAACUCCAUACGGAACAACAGCUACGACAACAAUGGUCUUGAUCCCAGCUGAAAACUG